UUUGAGGAAAUUCCCUCCAUGCCCCAGAUGAGGAGGCUGCCCCUGGGACACCAGAGGAUGGCACUUGCCAUAGGACAACACAACAGAUCAGCAUCACUGAACGUGGCUGCAGCUCCAAGCUGCUUAAAAGCCGUCCUCAAUGCCUCUGGAUUCAAGGACAACAGGAAUGGUACUGUUUGCAGACAGAACAGAGUGAAUGACCAAGGGCGACACAGAAAGGCAGGAAGCUGUGUCUCUAAAUAUCCAGAUAGAUGUAUGAGUGAACACUAAAACUACAAAUACAUCUUAUAUGCUGAAACAAAGUGCCAGAAGUUUAUCAAUACACACAAGCAGUUUGCACAGUGGAGCUGUUUCCUGUAAAAGUAUUAUUCCAGAUUGUCUCAUGUAGGGUUCUGCAGAUCCUCUUCUACCCAUCCUGCUAUGUACUUUCACACAACCUGUAACAAUGUUUUCCUACUCUUUGCCUCUCUU
This 471-nucleotide long non-coding RNA is filed under the name Gallus gallus (chicken). RNAcentral's name for it is "long non-coding RNA NONGGAT003716". Lineage: Eukaryota; Metazoa; Chordata; Aves; Galliformes; Phasianidae. The record is from RNAcentral.